Long non-coding RNA from Aethina tumida (small hive beetle), 510 nucleotides. RefSeq lists it as uncharacterized. The record is from RefSeq and is a predicted model, not a curated record. The transcript has 4 exons. Lineage: Eukaryota; Metazoa; Arthropoda; Insecta; Coleoptera; Nitidulidae.
UUGGCUGAGGUUGGCAAUAUAGCAGUUAGCCACGCCCUCCGAAUGCGCAGUAGUACUAAAAGUGGUGUAUGCACAUGUAACUGUCAAUAUACAAAUCUCAGCUUAAUCAGUAUCAUAUUUUAAUAUCUACAUUUCCUUUGUAUGAAUUAUUUUAAAUUACCCUUCAAAUAUGGACAUAUUUACUAAAAUGAAGUAUGAAUUAUUUUAAAUAGCUCUCCAAAUAUUGACAUAUUUAGGAAAAUAAAGUACGAUUAAAACGGAAUUACAUUUUUAUGGUAAUGUGGGCGGAUGUGCAUACGGUGGGAAAGGCCUGAGGGAUUCGGGCCCUUUGUCGAUUUAUCAAGGUUUUUAUGUGACAGAUAGCGAUCCGGUGACAGUUAUUAAGGACGAUCGCGAGGAGAGGCGUUUUAAGGAUAAUUAAAUUGAUUUAGUUCGUUUGAAGUGCAUACUCUUGAUAAUGAAAUCGUGCAUUAUGCACUUUAUGGGGUUGGAGAUAAAGUUAACGUGUAU